This is a long non-coding RNA of Amphimedon queenslandica, 828 nucleotides long. RefSeq lists it as uncharacterized. NCBI's taxonomy places the organism in Eukaryota, Metazoa, Porifera, Demospongiae, Haplosclerida, Niphatidae. The record is from RefSeq and is a predicted model, not a curated record. The transcript has 3 exons.
ACAAUAUUUUCUGUAAUAUGUGUAUAAAGGGCUUUCAACGAUCAGCAAGGCUGUUUAAGCCAAACUGCCCCCUUUGCUGGGUAGUUUGGUUUUGACGUCCAAAAUGGCUGGCCAAGGAUACAACUAUGAGUUGAAAUAUUUCUGACAAAUUCCUCUUAUUGAAAGAAAACUAACUUCCUGAUAAAUUUCUCUGUAUUAUCUGUAAACUAGUUUCCCGUGAUCAGCAACAAGCAUCCUGCUGCCACGAUAUUUUUUUGACUUCGACAAAAAAGUGAGGCCUUUGAAACCAUAAUGCCCAUCAAAAGAAGUUCAGCACCUUUGAUGAUGGAAGGCUCAUUUGUGAGUUGAUUCUCAAUUAGGUUUACUUGAAGAGGGCUGUAAAUGGCAGGGCGAAACUGGCACGUUCCUUGUUAAUCAUAUCAUAUAUGCAGUAUAUCUUAAGAUCCAUGAUAUCAUGAUUAAUCCUUUCAUCAUAGACGGAACUGUAUGCUUCUUGACAAAUAGGGCAUUUUGAUUCGAAUGAUGCUCCAAAAUGACAAUAAUUUUGGACGUAUAGUCCAAAAAUUAACAACCAACUAUUCCUAAGUCUGUACCAGGCCGUCCAGCACCAUUAGUAAAGAAGCCACACCCACAAAAAGCUAAAGUGAUGUUCUCUGUUGAUUAGGAUGAUGAAGUGUCUGUGACAGAAGACGACACUGUUGAUAUUAUCAGUACAAAAACUGAUCAAGAUGGCUAGUGGAAGAUCAGAGCUGGUGGUAAGGUUGGACUGGUGCCUGAUAAUUUCUUGUCAGCAAUAGCAAGCAGUGACUAUAAACCAGUGAAGAUGAG